Oncorhynchus nerka (sockeye salmon) is the source of this 917-nucleotide long non-coding RNA. RefSeq lists it as uncharacterized. The record is from RefSeq and is a predicted model, not a curated record. NCBI's taxonomy places the organism in Eukaryota, Metazoa, Chordata, Actinopteri, Salmoniformes, Salmonidae. The transcript is spliced from 2 exons.
CCCCCCCCCCCCCAGAGUGUCCAUCCUGACCCCAACAGUGACAUGUACACAUCUCUGAACAUGAUGACCAGGUCACCAGAGUAUGACACCCUGGCAAAUGUGAGGGACUUCGCAGUGACACAGCCCUCAGAUACAUGCUGAGCUCUCCAAUUAUGAGAACUUAAGAGAACCACCACAGAACCUGGACAGAAGAGAACCACCACAGAACCUGGACUGAAGAGAACCACCACAGAACCUGGACUGAAGAGAACCGCCACAGAACCUGGACUGAAGAGAACCACCACAGAACCUGGACUGAAGAGAACCACCACAGAGCCUGGACUGAAGAGAACCACCACAGAACCUGGACUGAAGAGAACCACCACAGAACCUGGACUGAAGAGCAACAGCAUCAGACCAAAGCUAGGCCUCACAAUGUUAUUCUCUUACUAUGAUAUUGCUUUUUAAUCUAUAAGGUUUGAGACAAUGAGCUUUAACUUUUGAGUUGAGUAUCUGGAGCAUCAGCAUUUGUGGGUUAAUUUACAGGAUCAAAAUGUCAACUUAUCUGUUUACUAUCUGUAGAUUGUAUUGCUUAUCUUUUUUAUAGGAUUUUGCCAAUUCUAGAUUUUUAUAACAUAUAAAGUUUUGGCUUGUCUUAGUGACACAAAAAUGAAUAAUAUUGACAAGAGAUUUUAAAUAUUUGUAUCUCUGGAGUUGUUCCUGAUGUGUUAAAAUAUGUUUUACUUUGUAUUGCUGUCAGUCAUUACUGGUCAUUUUAUAUUUUAUAUUAUGUAAUACUAUAUUGUUCAGUGUCAUGAUAUUGCUUGUUUCAUUAUCAAAUAAUUAAUAAUGACAUAUUUUAGAUACAUUGAAUACAGUAUAAGCAUCAUGUUGUAAAUAAGCUCAAAGGUAGACAAUAAAAAGACAACAAAUAAAUA